This 2346-nucleotide long non-coding RNA is filed under the name Homo sapiens (human). RNAcentral describes it as "HSALNT0342052". The record is from RNAcentral. Lineage: Eukaryota; Metazoa; Chordata; Mammalia; Primates; Hominidae.
ACACAUCAUGCCACUCCCAAUAUUAGUUAUCUUCAAAAACCUGUCUAGUCUAGUCUUAUGAAGGAAGGCAUAUUCAUUCCGUCUAUCAGCAGGACUUUGACCCUGUGACUUGUUAAAAACAAAACAAAUACUAACCUACUUAUGAAAGAGCUACAGUCAAAAAUCAAGUACUAAGGAUGGAUAGAAAAGAGAAAGACAAAGCCUAAGAAUUAAAACAACAAAACAAACCAACAAAACUGCCAGAUAUAGAAUCAAGCUUUAUUUUUACUGAAUGAUAGUAUAAGCUUUUAAUAUAACAUAGGCAUGUAUAAUAUUGAAGAUAUUUUAAUUUGAAAAUAAAGGGAAAAUACAUUUAAUUAUUCCAUUUUUCUUAGUUUUACUUUGAAUUCCAAAUAAGAAUUUUAAUACAUUUUUGGCUGGGCACGGUGGCUCACGCCUAUAUCCUAGCACUUUGGGAGACCGAGGAAGGUGGAUCACCUGAGGUCAGGAAUUCGACAACAGCCUGGCCAACACGGUGAAACCCCGUCUCUACUAAAAAUAUAAAAAUUAGCCAGGCAUGGUGGUGCACACCUGUAAUCCCAGCUACCUGGGAAGCUGAGGCAGGAGAAUUGCUUGAACCUGGGAGGCAGAGGAUGCAGUGAGCCGAGAUUGCGCCAUUGCACUCCAGCCUGGGCAAGAGAGCGAGACUGCCUCUCAAAACAAAACAAAACAAAAGCAAAACAAUUUUAGUAUCUUUUUUACUAAGAUGUAAAAUGUCAGGUGCUCAGGACAAUUUUACUGCUGAAUCCCUGAAAGACAAAGGGUAUUUUAUUCCAUUUCAUAUUUCCCCCAAAUUGUUCAUAAUGGUUACUUUUGAACAUAAAUGUCUGCGUAAUUGUAAAAGAAAUUAUUCCAUAUAUAUACAUAUAUAUAUACACACACACACACACACAUACACACACACACACACACACACACACACAGACAUAUAUACAGAAUUUGGGUAUUCCAAUAUUGUUAUAUUUAGGUUCUGGUACCACAUUGAAUGCCAGUUAAAUAGCUUCCAUUUGUGUCUCCUUGUUUCUACUAUGACUAUUAAUAUGGAAAGGCAGAACAAAUAGUGCCAUUAAAUUUUUGUAAGAUUUAAAAUCAGAAAAUCAGGCCAGGCACAGUGGCUCACGCCUGUAAUCCCAGCACUUUGGGAGGCUGAGGCAGGUGGAUCGCUUGAGGCCAGGAAUUGGAGACCAGCUUGGCCAACAGGGUGAAACCCCAACUCUACUAAAAAUACAAAAAUUAGCCAGGUAUGGUGGCAGGCACCUGUAAUUCCAGCUACUCAGGAGGCUGAGGCAGGAGAAUUGCUUGAACCCAGGAGGCGGAGGUUGCAGUAAGCCAAGAUCACGCCACUGCACUCCAGCCUAGGUGACAGAGUAAGACCCUGCCUCAAAAAAUUAAUUAAUUAAUUAAAUAAAAUAAGAAAUCUAUUCUGGAAAUCAGUCAUCAAACACCACAAUUUUGGGAAUAUAGUUUGGACGACCACUUCCUUUUCUGGAAACCAUUUUUAGAAUAAGAAAAUGAGCCAGAAUACACCUUGCCAAAUAAGUUUCCCCAAAUCACAAUUAUGAUUUGGGGAAUGAACACAAGAAUGAACAAAUUAAGUCAUAAAUGUAUGCAAUCAUUUUUGAAUGUCUUUGCAGAGAAAUAUUCAAAGUGGUAAGAUGGAUUGAACUGCCAACCAAAAUUGUCAAUCUUUAUUUCAGUCUUCACUAUUAAGCUAAAAAGGUAAUUUUUCUCUUGAAUGAUGUGAAGAAUUGAAUUUCUUUCAACUGUUCCAAAAAUCUAUUUGCGGAAAUAUUUUUAUGCUCCAGCAUGUCUUAAGAGUUUAACAUUUUUGGAUGCUGAGUUAUAACAGAUUCCUGCCUGCCACCCUGUGGGGCAGGCAAGAUGAUAUUAUACAUCUCUUAUAAAACAAAGAUACAGACUCAGAAUGGCUAAUAGGAUAUUGCUGAGGCCUGCCAGGUAAGUCGGAACUUAAGUCUUCUGACUUCUGAAUCACACACAUCACCACAUCAAAUACCUGAUAUUGCAAUCAUACACACAAGAAACAAUUAAAAACAAGCAUGAAAUUUAAUAACAAAAAAUUGACCAAUGUAAAAAAAUGACACUUUUUCACUAUAAAGGUAAUACAUGCUUACUGUAAAAUACUACAAAUAUAGAGAAAAAUAACAAAAUAAAUCCAUUUUCUUUUAGAUAUAUGACCAUUUCCAGUUGAGCAUGCUUCAUUUUACACUGUUGAAGAAUUUUCAGUGGAUACAAAAUUUUAAAUAUUUUUUCCUCAUCCCUAGGUGGCUUUCUCAUUCCCAAAACUUA